CCCUUAGAUGUCCUGGGCCGCACGCGCGCUACACUGACAUGUUCAACAAGCCUCCUAGUUCGACAGGAUUUGGGAAAUCUUUGAACGCAUGUCGUGAUAGGGAUAGAUCAUUGCAAUUAUUGAUCUUGAACGAGGAAUUCCUAGUAAACGCGAGUCAUCAGCUCGCAUUGAUUACGUCCCUGCCCUUUGUACACACCGCCCGUCGCACCUACCGAUUGAAUGUUUCGGUGAAGAUUCCGGAUAGGACUUUUUUGAUUUAUUUCAACUCUGUCUUAAAAGCUAUCUAAACCUCAACAUUUAGAGGAAGGUGAAGUCGUAACA
RNAcentral lists this ribosomal RNA (321 nucleotides) under uncultured eukaryote. RNAcentral's name for it is "partial 18S ribosomal RNA". It matches the Rfam family "Eukaryotic small subunit ribosomal RNA", at positions 1470 to 1796 of the family's 1831-position model. The record is from RNAcentral.